AUGGCCUACCAAGGCGACAAUCCGUAGCUGGUCUGAGAGGACGACCAGCCACACCGGAACUGAGACACGGUCCGGACUCCUACGGGAGGCAGCAGUGGGGAAUAUUGGACAACCCUGAUCCAGCGACGCCGCGUGUGUGAAGAAGGCCUGCGGGUUGUAAAGCACUUUUAGUGGGGACAAAAAGCUACGGAUUAAUACUCUGUGGUCUUGAUUUAACCCAAAGAAAAAGCACCGGCUAACUCUGUGCCAGCAGCCGCGGUAAUAA
RNAcentral lists this ribosomal RNA (265 nucleotides) under uncultured Steroidobacter sp. RNAcentral's name for it is "partial 16S ribosomal RNA". It matches the Rfam family "Bacterial small subunit ribosomal RNA", at positions 260 to 526 of the family's 1533-position model. The record is from RNAcentral. Lineage: Bacteria; Pseudomonadati; Pseudomonadota; Gammaproteobacteria; Steroidobacterales; Steroidobacteraceae.